AGCAGGCACGCAAAUUACCCACUUCCGGCACGGAGAGGUAGUGACAAAAAAUAACGAUACGGGACUCUAUUGAGGCCCCGUAAUCGGAAUGAGUACACUUUAAAUCCUUUAACAAGGAUCCAUUGGAGGGCAAGUCUGGUGCCAGCAGCCGCGGUAAUUCCAGCUCCAAUAGCGUAUAUUAAAGUUGUUGCGGUUAAAAAGCUCGUAGUUGGUUCUGCGUGCCGCGCUGUCGGUUCGCCGCCUGUCGGUGUUACUGGCAUGUCGCGGCAUGUCCUGUCGGUGGUGAAUGUGAUCCCCGGUGCUACCUAGGCUUGAAUUAGCUGAAGUACGUAUCCGUGGUGAUGGCAUUUGCCGAUUUCUCCUACUCCGGUGCUCUUAAACGAGUGUCGAGGUAGGCCGACACGUUCACUUUGAACAAAUUAGAGUGCUUAAAGCAGGCUAAAAUUUCUGCCUGAAUAGUGGUGCAUGGAAUAAUAAAAUAGGACCUCGGUUCUAUUUUAUUGGUUUUAGGAAUAUGAGGUAAUGAUCAAUGUGGACUGGCGGGGGCAUUCGUAUUGCGACGUUAGAGGUGAAAUUCUUGGAUCGUCGCAAGACGCACUAGAGCGAAAGCAUUUGCCAAGUAUGUCUUAAUUGAUCAAGAACGAAAGUUAGAGGUUCGAAGGCGAUCAGAUACCGCCCUAGUUCUAACCAUAAACGAUGCCAGCCAGCGAUCCGCCGAUGUUCCUUUAAUGACUCGGCGGGGAGCUUCCGACCCGGGAAACCAAAGCUUUUGGGUUCCGGGGGAAGUAUGGUUGCAAAGCUGAAACUUAAAGGAAUUGACGGAAGGGCACCACCAGGAGUGGAGCCUGCGGCUUAAUUUGACUCAACACGGGAAACCUCACCAGGCCAGGACAUUGGAAGGAUUGACAGAUUGAUAGCUCUUUCUUGAUUCAGUGGGUAGUGGUG
This 945-nucleotide ribosomal RNA is filed under the name Cimbus sp. MF-2017. Its description in RNAcentral is "SSU rRNA". It matches the Rfam family "Eukaryotic small subunit ribosomal RNA", at positions 427 to 1282 of the family's 1831-position model. Lineage: Eukaryota; Metazoa; Arthropoda; Insecta; Hemiptera; Reduviidae. The record is from RNAcentral.